Molecule: non-coding RNA, 1044 nt
Filed under: Perkinsus marinus ATCC 50983
Lineage: Eukaryota; Perkinsozoa; Perkinsida; Perkinsidae
Description: Eukaryotic large subunit ribosomal RNA
Rfam family: Eukaryotic large subunit ribosomal RNA
Source: Rfam by way of RNAcentral
CGUAUGCCAUGUUGGGGUCACCAACAACCGACCUUGAUCUUCGGUGAAAGGUUUGAGUAUGAGCAUAUCCGUUAGGACCCGAAAGAUGGUGAACUAUGCCUGAGCAGGGUGAAGCCAGGGGAAACUCUGGUGGAGGCUCGUAGCGAUACUGACGUGCAAAUCGUUCGUCAGACUUGGGUAUAGGGGCGAAAGACUAAUCGAACCAUCUAGUAGCUGGUUCCCUCCGAAGUUUCCCUCAGGAUAGCUAGAGUCUUUAUCAGUUUUGUCAGGUAAAGCGAAUGAUUAGAGGUUCCGGGGAAGUAACUUCCUCGACCUAUUCUCAAACUUUAAAUGGGCAAGAUCCAGUAGUUACUUAAUUGAACUAUUGGGGUCAAUGAGACGACUCUAAGUGGGCCAUUUUUGGUAAGCAGAACUGGCGAUGAGGGAUGAACCUAACGCUCGGUUAAGGUGCUAAACUGCUCGCUCAUCAGAUACCACAAAGGGUGUUGGUCGAUCUUAACAGCAGGACGGUGGUCAUGGAAGUCGAAAUCCGCUAAGGAGUGUGUAACAACUCACCUGCCGAAUCGACUAGCCCCGAAAAUGGAUAGCGCUGAAGCGAGUGACCGAUACCGGGCCAUUGUUGCAAGAUAAUUGGCAACAAUGAGUAGGAGGGCGUGGGGGUUGUGAAGAAGCUUGGACGUGAGUCUGAGUGAAACAGCUUCCAGUGCAGAUCUUGGUGGUAGUAGCAAGUAUUCAAUAAGAGAACAUUGAAGGCCGAAGUGGGGAAGGGUUCCAUGUGAACAGCACUUGGACAUGGGUUAGCCGAUCCUGAGAGACAGGUUAAAUUCCAUCGGAUUGGAGCUUUGGCUCUGUUUCUCGAAAGGGAAGCUGGUUAGUAUUCCAGCGCCGAGACGUGGAUAAUAUGUGGCAACACAAGUGAACUCGGACACGCCAUAGGGGACCCCAGGAAGCGUUGUCUUUUCUUUUUAACAGUUCGACUUACCCUGGAAUCAGAUCAUCUGGAGAUAGGGUUUUCGAACUGGAAUAGCACCUGUCUAACAGGGU